Molecule: small nucleolar RNA, 98 nt
Organism: Betta splendens (Siamese fighting fish)
Lineage: Eukaryota; Metazoa; Chordata; Actinopteri; Anabantiformes; Osphronemidae
Product: Z30 small nucleolar RNA
Source: Ensembl
CUGCAGUGAUGAGUCUUGAAGGGACUGAUCUGGUAUUGCUUCCCUCCGAGGAGGCUCUGACCAGGGAAUGACCUCCAGUUAAUCUUCUCUCUGAGCAG